GAUGAACGCUAGCUACAGGCUUAACACAUGCAAGUCGAGGGGAAACGAUAGAGAAAGCUUGCUUUUUCUAGGCGUCGACCGGCGCACGGGUGAGUAACGCGUAUCCAACCUGCCCAUCACUUGGGGAUAACCUUGCGAAAGUAAGACUAAUACCCAAUGACGUCUCUAGAAGACAUCUGAAAGAGAUUAAAGAUUUAUCGGUGAUGGAUGGGGAUGCGUCUGAUUAGCUGGUUGGCGGGGUAACGGCCCACCAAGGCGACGAUAAGUAGGGGUUCUGAGAGGAAGGUCCCCCACAUUGGAACUGAGACACGGUCCAAACUCCUACGGGAGGCAGCAGUGAGGAAUAUUGGUUAAUGGGCGAGAGCCUGAACCAGCCAAGUAGCGUGCAGGAUGACGGCCCUAUGGGUUGUAAACUGCUUUUAUAAGGGAAUAAAGUGAGUCUCGUGAGACUUUUUGCAUGUACCUUAUGAAUAAGGACCGGCUAAUUCCGUGCCAGCCGCCGCCGUAA
RNAcentral lists this ribosomal RNA (508 nucleotides) under uncultured bacterium. RNAcentral's name for it is "partial 16S ribosomal RNA". It matches the Rfam family "Bacterial small subunit ribosomal RNA", at positions 28 to 523 of the family's 1533-position model. The record is from RNAcentral.